GGGCUCGUAGUAUACCGGUAACACACUUCCAUGGCAUGGAAGAGUAGCGGGUUCAAUUCCCGCCGGGUCCACCU
Molecule: transfer RNA, 74 nt
Filed under: Candidatus Beckwithbacteria bacterium CG1_02_47_37
Lineage: Bacteria; Candidatus Beckwithiibacteriota
Also listed under: 4 other names
Description: tRNA-Ala
Rfam family: tRNA
About the family: Transfer RNA (tRNA) molecules are approximately 80 nucleotides in length. Their secondary structure includes four short double-helical elements and three loops (D, anti-codon, and T loops).
Source: RNAcentral